Molecule: ribosomal RNA, 439 nt
Filed under: uncultured bacterium
Lineage: Bacteria
Description: partial 16S ribosomal RNA
Rfam family: Bacterial small subunit ribosomal RNA
Source: RNAcentral
CUACGGGGGGCUCAAGUGAGGAAUAUUGCACAAUGGGGGGAACCCUGAUGCAGCAACGCCGCGUGGAGGAUGACGCAUUUCGGUGUGUAAACUCCUUUUAUAUGUCAAGAAAAUGACGGUAGCAUAUGAAUAAGCACCGGCUAACUCCGUGCCAGCAGCCGCGGUAAUACGGAGGGUGCAAGCGUUACUCGGAAUCACUGGGCGUAAAGGACGCGUAGGCGGGUUGGAAAGUCAGGUGUGAAAUCCUACAGCUUAACUGUAGAACUGCACUUGAAACUUCUAAUCUAGAGUAUGGGAGGGGGAGAUGGAAUUAGUGGUGUAGGGGUAAAAUCCGUAGAUAUCACUAGGAAUACCUAAAGCGAAGGCGAUCUCCUGGAACAUUACUGAUGCUAAGGCGUGAAAGCGUGGGGAGCAAACAGGAUUAGAUACCCCCGUAGUC